This 497-nucleotide ribosomal RNA is filed under the name uncultured bacterium. RNAcentral describes it as "partial 16S ribosomal RNA". It matches the Rfam family "Bacterial small subunit ribosomal RNA", at positions 28 to 507 of the family's 1533-position model. The record is from RNAcentral.
GAUGAACGCUGGCGGCGUGCCUAAUACAUGCAAGUCGAGCGAACAGACGAGGAGCUUGCUCCUCUGACGUUAGCGGCGGACGGGUGAGUAACACGUGGAUAACCUACCUAUAAGACUGGGAUAACUUCGGGAAACCGGAGCUAAUACCGGAUAAUAUAUUGAACCGCAUGGUUCAAUAGUGAAAGACGGUUUUGCUGUCACUUAUAGAUGGAUCCGCGCCGCAUUAGCUAGUUGGUAAGGUAACGGCUUACCAAGGCAACGAUGCGUAGCCGACCUGAGAGGGUGGUAGGCCACACUGGAGCUGGGACACGGUCCAGACUCCUACGGGAGGCAGCAGUAGGGAAUCUUCCGCAAUGGGCGAAAGCUUGACGGAGCAACGCCGCGUGAGUGAUGAAGGUCUUCGGAUCGUAAAACUCUGCUAUUAGGGAAGAACAAAUGUGUAAGUAACUAUGCACGUCUUGACGGUACCUAAUCAGAAAGCCACGGCUAACUACGUG